This 710-nucleotide ribosomal RNA is filed under the name uncultured bacterium. RNAcentral describes it as "bacterial SSU rRNA". It matches the Rfam family "Bacterial small subunit ribosomal RNA", at positions 60 to 743 of the family's 1533-position model. The record is from RNAcentral.
AGUCGACGCUUCUUUUUCCCCGGAGCUUGCUCCACCGGAAAAAGAGGAGUGGCGAACGGGUGAGUAACACGUGGGUAACCUGCCCAUCAGAAGGGGAUAACACUUGGAAACAGGUGCUAAUACCGUAUAACAAUCGAAACCGCAUGGUUUUGAUUUGAAAGGCGCUUUCGGGUGUCGCUGAUGGAUGGACCCGCGGUGCAUUAGCUAGUUGGUGAGGUAACGGCUCACCAAGGCGACGAUGCAUAGCCGACCUGAGAGGGUGAUCGGCCACAUUGGGACUGAGACACGGCCCAAACUCCUACGGGAGGCAGCAGUAGGGAAUCUUCGGCAAUGGACGAAAGUCUGACCGAGCAACGCCGCGUGAGUGAAGAAGGUUUUCGGAUCGUAAAACUCUGUUGUUAGAGAAGAACAAGGAUGAGAGUAACUGUUCAUCCCUUGACGGUAUCUAACCAGAAAGCCACGGCUAACUACGUGCCAGCAGCCGCGGUAAUACGUAGGUGGCAAGCGUUGUCCGGAUUUAUUGGGCGUAAAGCGAGCGCAGGCGGUUUCUUAAGUCUGAUGUGAAAGCCCCCGGCUCAACCGGGGAGGGUCAUUGGAAACUGGGAGACUUGAGUGCAGAAGAGGAGAGUGGAAUUCCAUGUGUAGCGGUGAAAUGCGUAGAUAUAUGGAGGAACACCAGUGGCGAAAGCGGCUCUCUGGUCUGUAACUGA